Anopheles epiroticus is the source of this 153-nucleotide non-coding RNA. The record is from Rfam. Lineage: Eukaryota; Metazoa; Arthropoda; Insecta; Diptera; Culicidae.
AAAAAUUAAAGGCCCUGUAACGGGGUGGAAUCUGAAGACUCCUGAAGAUUCCAUCCAACUCCUAUUCCGACACGUCCACGUCGUGCAGGGUGGUAACAUGGGCCCGAAUCCAACCUUUGGGGAGGGUGACGGCUCAUGGCUAAAGGGGAAGGG